CCUACGGGAGACAGCAGUGGGGAAUAUUGGGCAAUGGGCGCAAGCCUGACCCAGCAACGCCGCGUGAAGGAAGAAGGCUUUCGGGUUGUAAACUUCUUUUGUCAGGGAAGAGUAGAAGACGGUACCCGGAGAAAAAGCAUCGGCUAACUCCGUGCCAGCAGCCGCGGUAAUACGGAGGAUGCGAGCGUUAUCCGGAUUUAUUGGGUUAAAAGGGUGCGUAGGCGGAUCGUUAAGUCAGUGGUCAAAUUGAGGGGCUCAACCCCUUCCCGCCAUUGAAACUGGCGUUCUUGAGUGGAAGAGAAGUAGGCGGAAUGCGUGGUGUAGCGGUGAAAUGCAUAGAUAUCACGCAGAACCCCGAUUGCGAAGGCAGCAUGCCGGCUUCCGACUGACGCUGAAGCACGAAAGCGUGGGGAUCGAACAGGAUUAGAUACCCCUGUAGUC
Molecule: ribosomal RNA, 441 nt
Filed under: uncultured bacterium
Lineage: Bacteria
Description: partial 16S ribosomal RNA
Rfam family: Bacterial small subunit ribosomal RNA
Source: RNAcentral